AUUGAACGCUGGCGGCAGGCCUAACACAUGCAAGUCGAACGAGUGGCGGACGGGUGAGUACUUGCUGGGAAACUGCCUGAUGGAGGGGGAUAACUACUGGAAACGGUAGGUAAUACCGCACAACAUCAGAUGUGCCCAGAUGGGAUUAGCUUGUUGGUGGGGUAACGGCUCACGAAGGCGCCGAUCCCUAGCUGGUCUGCGAGGAUGACCAGCAAAACUGGAACGGAGACACGGUCCAGACUCCUACGGGGGGCAGCAGUGGGAAAGAUUGCACAAUGGGCGCAAGCCUGAUGCAGCCAUGCCGCGUGUAUGAAGAAGGCCUUCGGGUUGUAAAGGACUUUCAGCGGGGAGGCGUUACCCGCAGAGGAAGCACCGGCUAACUCCGUGCCAGCAGCCGCGGUAAUUC
RNAcentral lists this ribosomal RNA (406 nucleotides) under uncultured bacterium. Its description in RNAcentral is "partial 16S ribosomal RNA". It matches the Rfam family "Bacterial small subunit ribosomal RNA", at positions 30 to 526 of the family's 1533-position model. The record is from RNAcentral.